UACGUAGGGUGCGAGCGUUAAUCGGAAUUACUGGGCGUAAAGCGUGCGCAGGCGGCGCGUUAAGACAGGUGUGAAAGCCCCGGGCUCAACCUGGGAAUUGCAUUUGAGACUGCAUAGCUAGGGUGCGGAAGAGGGAAGCGGAAUUUCCGGUGUAGCGGUGAAAUGCGUAGAUAUCGGAAGGAACAUCAGUGGCGAAAGCGGCUUCCUGGUCCAGCACCGACGUUCAGGCACGAAAGCGUGGGGAGCAAACAGG
This 253-nucleotide ribosomal RNA is filed under the name uncultured bacterium. RNAcentral's name for it is "partial 16S ribosomal RNA". It matches the Rfam family "Bacterial small subunit ribosomal RNA", at positions 524 to 776 of the family's 1533-position model. The record is from RNAcentral.